GUGCCAAGCAGCCGCGGUAAUUCCAGCUCCAAUAGCGUAUAUUAAAGUUGCUGCAGUUAAAAAGCUCGUAGCUGAACCUUGGGCCUGGUUGACCGGUCCGCCUAACGGUGUGCACUGGCUUGACCGGGCCUUUCCUUCUGGCUAGCCUGUAUGUCCUUUAUUGGGUGUGCAGGGGAACCAGGACUUUUACUUUGAAAAAAUUAGAGUGUUCAAAGCAGGCUUAUGCUCGAAUACAUUAGCAUGGAAUAAUAGAAUAGGACGUGUGGUUCUAUUUUGUUGGUUUCUAGGACCGCCGUAAUGAUUAAUAGGGACAGUUGGGGACAUUAGUAUUGAGUUGUCAGAGGUGAAAUUCUUGGAUUUACUCAAGACUAACUACUGCGAAAGCAUUUGUCAAGGAUGUUUUCAUUAGUCAAGAACGAAAGUUAGGGGAUCGAAGACGAUCAGAUACCGUCGUAGUCUUAACCAUAAACUAUGCCGACUAGGGAUCGGGCGAUGUUCUUUUCUUGACUCGCCCGGCACCUUAUGAGAAAUCAAAGUUUUUGGGUUCCGGGGGGAGUAUGGUCGCAAGGCUGAAACUUAAAGAAAUUGACGGAAGGGCACCACCAGGAGUGGAGCCUGCGGCUUAAUUUGACUCAACACGGGGAAACUCACCAGGUCCAGACAAAGUAAGGAUUGACAGAUUGAUAGCUCUUUCUUGAUUCUUUGGGUGGUGGUGCAUGGCCGUUCUUAGUUGGUGGAGUGAUUUGUCUGCUUAAUUGCGAUAACGAACGAGACCUUAACCUGCUAAAUAGCCCGACUAGCUUUUGCUGCUCGCUGGCUUCUUAGAGGGACUAUUGGCAUAAAGCCAAUGGAAGUUUGAGGCAAUAA
RNAcentral lists this ribosomal RNA (867 nucleotides) under uncultured eukaryote. RNAcentral's name for it is "SSU rRNA". It matches the Rfam family "Eukaryotic small subunit ribosomal RNA", at positions 564 to 1456 of the family's 1831-position model. The record is from RNAcentral.